This 440-nucleotide ribosomal RNA is filed under the name uncultured bacterium. RNAcentral's name for it is "partial 16S ribosomal RNA". It matches the Rfam family "Bacterial small subunit ribosomal RNA", at positions 338 to 795 of the family's 1533-position model. The record is from RNAcentral.
CCUACGGGAGGCAGCAGUGGGGAAUAUUGCACAAUGGUGGAAACCCUGAUGCAGCGACGCCGCGUGAACGAUGAAGUAUUUCGGUAUGUAAAGCUCUAUCAGCAGGGGAGAAGAUGACGGUACCUGACUAAGAAGCCCCGGCUAACUACGUGCCAGCCGCCGCGGUAAUACGUAGGGGGCAGGCGUUAUCCGGAUUUACUGGGUGUAAUGGGAGCGUAGACGGCGAUGCAAGCCAGAUGUGAAAGCCCGGGGCUCAACCCCGGGACUGCAGUGGGAACUGUGUGGAUGGAGUGUCGGAGAGGCAGGCGGAAUUCCUAGUGUAGCGGUGAAAUGCGUAGAUAUUAGGAGGAACACCAGUGGCGAAGGCGGCCUGCUGGACGAUGACUGACGUUGAGGCUCGAAGGCGUGGGGAGCAAACAGGAUUAGAUACCCCAGUAGUC